AUCGAUACAAUUGUGUAAAGCAAGAUUUAUAUACUUGCAACAGGCAUGUUGUAAAAGGUCGCCCGGGAAGUGUAACAGAGCUUACCAGUUUCCUUUAUCUUGAAUUCCACCGUGGUUACAAUCACACUUCUCCCCUGCCUAAGUAUGCAUGCAUCAACCUCUAUCUCCGCGUUGAGUCUCCCGGCCGAGAGGUAAGUAGUGCUCAGCUCCCCGAGAAACAACUCCUUGUCCCCCGCCACCGUCCUGGCGCAUGCCUCCGCUACCGUCUCCGUCACCGCCGCCA
RNAcentral lists this unclassified non-coding RNA (283 nucleotides) under Hevea brasiliensis (rubber tree). Lineage: Eukaryota; Viridiplantae; Streptophyta; Magnoliopsida; Malpighiales; Euphorbiaceae. The record is from RNAcentral.